CUUUAUUUUGAAGGCCGACGUCGUAGCUCCAUCGUUUGCCUGACUUCAACUUUCACCGCUCCCCGUAUUGGCUUCGCCUCUGGCCGGUUCCGUGUGUCCGCCGACUUCUCGGUAGGUGAUUGUGGUAGCCUAUUGUGUUUGUUGUUGGCUACGUUUGUAUCAUUUAGUGGGCCAACUCAAACAUUGGGGUUUAGGAGUGCAGCUAGUCGCUGAACAUGGGCCGUAUGACUGGCCACAGCAGAGCGAUCUCGGGCGUAACAGGGAGCGGCAACAUCAAGGCGUCUUGGUCCCAGUUCCGACGAACGCUGCUGUUUUGUCUUGUUUUGUGUGUGUUUCGUCUGUUCCAUUCUGUUUGCUAAAUUGGCUGUGUUUAGCCACCACGAAGUCAGCCCUCAUUGAUUAACUGAAGUGACGACAGGUGUGCUGCUGUUUGCUCACGAGUGACUACGAAUUCAGUUCGGUUGUGGAGGCUAGCCUAUUCCUUAGCUUGUUGCACUGUGUGUCAUGAUUUGUCACCAUAAGCCUGCGUGAGUGAUUGUGCUUUCACUGUUUGCUGUGACAACUGAGUGCUGUGCAUUGGAGUGCUACUUAAUCACGAGUGUCUCAUUCCCUGAAUAGUCACCUCUACUGACUUUAGCGAACUCACUCAGGAGAGUACUACUGCUGUUGGCGAACCCACACUGGAGAGUAAUACUGACUUGAGCGAACCCACACUGGAAAGAACUCACUCAUGUUUUUAAUGUAAAUAAAUAAGAGUUUAUUUUUGGAACACAUGCCUCUCUGGUUUUCUAUGAUCCCGAACCUGUGUUGCCUGGUAGCUCAAUGCAUUAUCCAGUCUCAAAGAGUUUAUAUUCUGAGGGGAAGGGCCUCAGAUGGCGUAGUCGUCAUGUUGCAGAAUGUGAAGCCGACCAUUCACUUUGCCACACAAGUACUCGAUUUAAAAAAAAAAAAAAAAAAACAGGAAUAUCGAGUAUCACUCCCCUCCAGGAAAUACGCAAGUCAGGAAUUCUUCAAUUACUGAUGGAUUUAUUUUUGUUUCUUUAAUUUCAUCUAAUCCACCUUUAGACUGAAUUGAUCAAAAAUGUUUUAUAGGCCUACUUUUACUGAGUGAUGACGCCCUUUCCACACUUUUUACAGAGCCUCCCAUGGUUUCCUUCCGAAGGGCGCCAACCCUGAAGGAUGCCUUGGUCAGAAGCCAUCUGCCAGCCAACAAACCUGUUUUCCAAUUCCCCAAACCAACAGGUAGGCUACCUACAGGUGUGGUGCCUGCAACCAUUGCGACAACAUCGUGAGAGACAACAGGUUUACAGAGAAGUUUCCAAGUUCGUAGCUUUGCCAACUGCAAUACCACCUUUGUGGUUUAUAGGUUAGAAUGUGAAUGUGGUUGCUUUUAUGUUGGCCGCACCAAACGCAAGUUCCGACAAAGACUGGCUGAGCACAAAAAUGCCAUCAGGACCCAGAACCCCAACUAUCCAAUGGCCCAGCAUUACAAGACUGCUGGCCACACUAACCAGGUCAAGGCCAUGGUCAUUGAGGUAGUUCAAAAAGACAUCAGGGGGGGAGACCGACUGAAGCGCCUCUUACAAAGGGAAACAUUUUGGAUACAUGCACUUAAAGCCACCACACACCCGGGCCUCAAUGAGGAAAUUUACUUUUCACCAUUUCUGUGAUUGAAAGUAAAUGUUUACUAAUAAUGUGAUGUUUUGUUAUAUGAAAUAAUGCCUACAUGCUUCGUAAUCUGUAGAACACUGGUAUGCUGGGUUUUUUCUGUAUGGCAUUAUGUGGGUUCUAAUAUGUCUAGUCUCCACCUUGGUGAUCCAAAGUUUAUUUGUUAUUUUUUGUUUUCUGUCAAUAUUGUAUUUCAACUAGGGUAUUUUAAUGUGCCCUGUCAGGUGUCUUAUCACAUGACACAGAGUGAUUGAUUGCUUUAUAAAGAACACCUGCGAGUGUGAUCACUGAUUGCCCUGAGGAAGGCUCAGUAGAGUCGAAACACGUAGGCUUAUCCAAAUGCAAUAAAGGAUUUUUAACUUUUUUCACUA
Long non-coding RNA from Sardina pilchardus (European sardine), 2039 nucleotides. RefSeq lists it as uncharacterized. NCBI's taxonomy places the organism in Eukaryota, Metazoa, Chordata, Actinopteri, Clupeiformes, Clupeidae. The record is from RefSeq and is a predicted model, not a curated record. The transcript is spliced from 2 exons.